RNAcentral lists this ribosomal RNA (789 nucleotides) under uncultured Pacificibacter sp. RNAcentral describes it as "bacterial SSU rRNA". It matches the Rfam family "Bacterial small subunit ribosomal RNA", at positions 36 to 871 of the family's 1533-position model. The record is from RNAcentral. Lineage: Bacteria; Pseudomonadati; Pseudomonadota; Alphaproteobacteria; Rhodobacterales; Roseobacteraceae.
CUGGCGGCAGGCCUAACACAUGCAAGUCGAGCGCUUCCCUUCGGGGAGGAGCGGCGGACGGGUUAGUAACGCGUGGGAAUAUACCCUUCACUAAGGAAUAGCCUCGGGAAACUGAGAGUAAUACCUUAUACGCCCUUCGGGGGAAAGAUUUAUCGGUGAGGGAUUAGCCCGCGUAAGAUUAGAUAGUUGGUGGGGUAAUGGCCUACCAAGUCUACGAUCUUUAGCUGGUUUGAGAGGAUGAUCAGCAACACUGGGACUGAGACACGGCCCAGACUCCUACGGGAGGCAGCAGUGGGGAAUCUUAGACAAUGGGCGCAAGCCUGAUCUAGCCAUGCCGCGUGAGUGAUGAAGGCCUUAGGGUCGUAAAGCUCUUUCACCUGUGAAGAUAAUGACGGUAGCAGGAAAAGAAACCCCGGCUAACUCCGUGCCAGCAGCCGCGGUAAUACGGAGGGGGUUAGCGUUGUUCGGAAUUACUGGGCGUAAAGCGUACGUAGGCGGAUUAAUCAGUCAGAGGUGAAAUCCCAGGGCUCAACCCUGGAACUGCCUUUGAUACUGUUAGUCUUGAGUUCGAGAGAGGUGAGUGGAAUUCCAAGUGUAGAGGUGAAAUUCGUAGAUAUUUGGAGGAACACCAGUGGCGAAGGCGGCUCACUGGCUCGAUACUGACGCUGAGGUACGAAAGUGUGGGGAGCAAACAGGAUUAGAUACCCUGGUAGUCCACACCGUAAACGAUGAAUGCCAGUCGUCGGGUAGCAUGCUGCUCGGUGACACACCUAACGGAUUAAGCAUCCG